UCUGAUUUGAAUCAUAUGUGCGCCAAUUAU
RNAcentral lists this non-coding RNA (30 nucleotides) under Mus musculus (house mouse). The record is from RNAcentral. Lineage: Eukaryota; Metazoa; Chordata; Mammalia; Rodentia; Muridae.